CGUUUUCUUAUCCGCCCAGGUGUGCACGACCGCAAGGUCCGCAUUAAACGGGAAGCCGGUGCGCUCGAAGAGCAAGGCCGGCGCUGCCCCCGCAACGGUAAUCGACCGCGAUCCUCAGGAAUCGCCGUCCGCUCGACAACCACUGUGUUCCGACAUGGGAAGGUGAGCGUGAUGCGUGUCGAAAGCCCGGAGACCGGCCUGACGGAUUCGACUGGU
Molecule: non-coding RNA, 216 nt
Filed under: Stutzerimonas stutzeri
Lineage: Bacteria; Pseudomonadati; Pseudomonadota; Gammaproteobacteria; Pseudomonadales; Pseudomonadaceae
Source: RNAcentral